Mercurialis annua (annual mercury) is the source of this 1527-nucleotide long non-coding RNA. RefSeq lists it as uncharacterized. The record is from RefSeq and is a predicted model, not a curated record. NCBI's taxonomy places the organism in Eukaryota, Viridiplantae, Streptophyta, Magnoliopsida, Malpighiales, Euphorbiaceae. The transcript is spliced from 3 exons.
GAUUGUGACACAUGUAGAUAUAUGUGUCAUGCAUGAAGAAGGAAUUUAUAAAAGUAUGACACAUGUUAAAACAUGUGUCAUGUGUAGAGAACAAAACUUGGAAAUCAAGUUUACUCUAAAUUAAAAAUAUUUAAUAAAUUAUAUAUAAAAAUAAAAUAAAAGAAAAGGGCAUGUGGCUUUUCUUUUAGUAAGGUAACGUGGCUUUAGGACAACAAAAAUGAGCAAGGUGGCAUCAAUUAUGGAGAAAUGAUAAAUUAGUCCAAUUAAAAAUUUAGGGGCUAAACAUGACUUUAAGCCAUUUCAAAUAAAAAUAGAGAUGCACAUACCUAUCUUAGACCCAAAACAAAACAUUUCAUCCCUUUCUUCUCCAAGUAUUCGGCCAAACCCACCCACACUCCAAACUUCCAUUUUUCUCAUUUCUAAACUUAAAAUAAAGAUGUGACGGAAAGUCAACUAUGGACGGAUCAAAUUGAAGGAGCACCGGUUGGAAUAGACCGAGUGGCUAAUAGUGGAUCAUCGUGGCGUAUUUAAUUAUUUAUGAAGCGACAGUCUGAAUAUUGCCUGUGUUUGGACGAGACUUCAUCUUUUUGAUUCUUGAAGUCUUCGUUUUGCGUAUAUGGUAAUUGGUCUUAUUUUGAUCUGUAGAGCUGCAGUAGAAUAGAUAGACAGACGCCUUAGCAUGUCAGUAUUUGCGAUGCUUGCCACGCAUGAACUCUGUUUUGUUUUCAUCGCACGAUUAUAAUAUAUUUUAACGACAUGCAUUAAGGUAUUGGUAAAUAGUUGCAACCCGGGUACACGGUAGUACCGGGAGUUUUGAGAUACAGUGUAAAGGAAACUGUACGCAACUAUGUUAUGUGUAUAAUAUGGGGCCCAGCGUGGCUAUAUGCAUGAUUGCAUGUUAUCGGUUUUGUAAAAGACGGUAUUCGAGGAAUACGCGUUAAAACGAUAACCAGUAAUUGAAAAGUAACGGUUUUAAUUUAAUGAAUGUGUAUGCAUAAUGAAAUGCAUUUAAAUCCAUAAUGAAAUGGUCUGCAUAGUGAAAUGCAGUUAUCACCAUAAUGAGAUGGUGUGUGCAUAAUGAGAUGCAUUAUUAACCCCAGUGUAGUGGGUAUGAAACUUGAAUACAUUAAUUAAAUAGAUAAUUUAAUUGUAAAGUUUCAUUAUGAUUUUAUCGGAACGUUUUUAAACGGAGAUUUUAAAAUGUUCGAAAAUGUGUUUUGAAUUCCGCGAAAAAUUUGAAGUGAUUUUUAAAGUGUUUUUAAGGCUUGCUACGGAUUUCGGAGCAACCACUCCCAUUCCCUAGCGCCGGUCUCGACGCCGAGAAUCGGGUCGUGACAAUUUAACUGAAAUAAAUGACGACAAGACUUAUGUAAAAAUAUCAAAUCAUUUAUUUAUUAUUUUUUUUUCUAAAUUGCUUUAAAAUGGUGCUCUCAAAUAUUUUAUCUAUGGAAAACAGAUAGCUCACCACUUUCAGAAAGAUAAAAUAAUUCCCAAGGGUUAGUGUUUUUAGGUGUAUUUUAUUUACUU